AUGUAAGAGACAAUAUUUAUUAUAACCUUUGGAAGGAUAUAUUGCAAAUCUAUCUAUAAGUGCCAGAAACUAUUUAGUUCUCAAGAGAUUAUUUGUUUCUCAAAAGAAUUAUGGUUGUAAUUCUCAAAUUUGUGUCUACUCUCAUCCUCUUUCUUUCUUUUUUGUCUAUUGCAACUGGAGCUCGCCGAAUCCGUAGGUUGAAUUGCAAUUCAGAUGAUGGUUGUCCAAAUAAUUAUUGUACUCCUCCUCACUUUGGGAAGUGUGUUUCAAAACAAUGUGUUUGUAUGAAACUAGCGUGGUAUACAAAACCCUAGGUUUGAGGUGCAUGGAAAUGGCAAGUUAAAAAAUAAUUAGGUUUUAUUUCUAGACCUAUAGUUUUAUUUGCAUGGUAGAAUGUUGUUACUCUUAUGAUUUCUAUCGGACAUCCAUCUGUAUUUCUUUAAGUUUUGGCUUUCUUUGAUAA
Long non-coding RNA from Medicago truncatula (barrel medic), 463 nucleotides. RefSeq lists it as uncharacterized. NCBI's taxonomy places the organism in Eukaryota, Viridiplantae, Streptophyta, Magnoliopsida, Fabales, Fabaceae. The transcript is spliced from 2 exons. The record is from RefSeq and is a predicted model, not a curated record.